RNAcentral lists this ribosomal RNA (464 nucleotides) under uncultured bacterium. RNAcentral's name for it is "partial 16S ribosomal RNA". It matches the Rfam family "Bacterial small subunit ribosomal RNA", at positions 28 to 506 of the family's 1533-position model. The record is from RNAcentral.
GACGAACGCUGGCGGCGUGCUUAACACAUGCAAGUCGAACGGAAAGGCCCUGCUUGCCGGGUACUCGAGUGGCGAACGGGUGAGUAACACGUGGGUGAUCUGCCCUUCACUUCGGGAUAAGCCUGGGAAACUGGGUCUAAUACCGGAUAGGAGCCAUUUUUAGUGUGAUGGUUGGAAAGUUUUUUCGGUGUAGGAUGAGCUCGCGGCCUAUCAGCUUGUUGGUGGGGUAAUGGCCUACCAAGGCGGCGACGGGUAGCGGGCCUGAGAGGGUGGACGGCCACAUUGGGACUGAGAUACGGCCCAGACUCCUACGGGAGGCAGCAGUGGGGAAUAUUGCACAAUGGGCGCAAGCCUGAUGCAGCGACGCCGCGUGGGGGAUGACGGCCUUCGGGUUGUAAACUCCUUUCGCUAGGGACGAAGCUUUUUGGGACGGUACCUAGAGAAGAAGCACCGGCAAACUACGU